UACGAGAGGCCCAAACGUUAUUCGGAAUUACUGGGCUUAAAGAGUUCGUAGGCGGCAUUGCAAGUAGGGUGUGAAAGCCCUCGGCUCAACCGAGGAAUUGCGCUCUAAACUGCAGUGCUUGAGGAACCUAGAGGUGAGCAGAACAGAUGGUGGAGCGGUGAAAUGCGUUGAUAUCAUCUGGAAUACCGGGGGCGAAGGCGGCUCACUGGGAGUUUUCUGACGCUGAGGAACGAAAGCCAGGGUAGCGAACGGG
RNAcentral lists this ribosomal RNA (253 nucleotides) under uncultured bacterium. RNAcentral describes it as "partial 16S ribosomal RNA". It matches the Rfam family "Bacterial small subunit ribosomal RNA", at positions 524 to 776 of the family's 1533-position model. The record is from RNAcentral.